AGGUAAGAGAUACAAUGUAGAUGGGUUUGAAGAAGUAUAAAUUAUGUUUUAGUGACGCGAGUCUAAUGUGUUUAUGUUGUCAACAAGGCUGAUGGGUUUCAUUACCGUCAGCCUUGGGUUAUAGGUGUGCAGGAGGAGAUCGAAAGUCUGCGUAGGCGGGUGGAGAAGGCUGAGCAGGUGAUCAAGUUGGUGCCCAAUCUCAAUAAACAUAUCGACACAGUUGAGGCAGAGGUUAACCGCCUCAGUUUGGUGGUUGAUAACCUCACUGCUGAGAUUUAUUCUCUCACUGUGCAGGUAACAAAUCUGGAGAAGGUCUGCUUCGAAUAAAAACCUUAAGGUAAACACUCAAGCUUAACUAAGCUUAACUGAACUGAAGUAUUUAGCUUGCUCUGCUGAAUGAUGUGAUGAAUGUUGAACUAGAGGUGAACUGAACUAGGUAGAGUAGGUAACUGAACUAGAAAGUGAAGUGAACUAGGUAGACUAGGAACUGAAAAAACAUUAAUUAUCAGUUGGUUGGUUGCUCUGAUGAAUGUUGUGUUGAAUGCUCUCUGUCUACUUCUUGUACUAGUUUUUUAAAACAGAUUUGAUGUGUAAUGAAUGCCGUUAGAGAACAACUUGUUGUGUAAUUAACUUUAAUGAAUUUUGGUAGUUAGACUUACUUUAAUUGCUCUCUCUUAUCAAAGCACAAUGGUAGUUUAAAAACAUAGUUAGAAGUAAAAAAUCUGAAAACCAAAACCACGUUUAAAACCCCACCCCAAACCAAAAUGGAACCGUUUUCUCUAGAUUCUCCCGGGUUUAUGAACCUUUUAUCUUCCCAGACCAGUCAACCCAUAGACGUAGGGUCCAUAGGCGUAGGGUCUUCUACUGUUCCAAAACCGUUGGAAAGGAAAAAGUGACAACACAAGAAGACAUUGUUCUGAUCAGUGCUUGGUUGAACACCAGCAAGGAUCCGAUAGUUAGUAACCAGCAGAAGUUACAAUGGGACAAGGAAAAAAUAGGAAGGAUUAUGAGAUGUUGUGUUAUAUUGCACAAUAUGAUAGUCGAGAACGAAAGAGACGAAUACAAUCAAAUUGAUACAUCAGAGUUCGAGUCGGGAGAGUCAAGCACAAGUUCCCAGGUGCGAAGAAGAGAAAGUUUGAAUGUCCAUAAUAUGCUUGGCAUUCGCACUGAAGUUCGAAAUUCAGAUAAACAUGAUCGUUUGAAAGCUGAUCUCAUCGAAAAUAUCUGGCAAAUGUUUGGUAAUGUAGAUGAUUGAUCGUUGUAUGUUCAUGAAUUCUCAAUGUAUUGAAUAAAUUUCUUUUAUAAAUAUAUUAGUUAAUGUAAUCAAUUCUUAAUGUAUUGAAUAUUUUAAAACUUAUUAUAUUUUAUUCAUUUAUUUUCAAUAUAGUGAAAAGAUUUAAAAAAAAUAUAUAUAAUAUUAUUUUAUUUCUAUGAACCCCUUCUGCAGGUUCACCAAUGCAGGAACACAAUCGAUAGAAGUUCACAACUAUUUAUGAUCCCACCAAAAAAAUAAUAAAAAAACCUUAUAAACCACGAGAGGGGGUUCACCAAUGCGGAUCCCCUAAUACUCCGUCCAAAGUUUCUAAACAAACAACCGUUUCUUAGUUUUUACUUCUUUUCUCACCUACGGUUUCAUUUUUUAUUAUAAUUUUAGUUUAGAACUUUUUGUGAGAAAUGCACGAUAAAAGCAGUGGCGGAACUAGCAUGUAACUAGGGUAGUCAAUUGACCCAUGUGAAAAAAUAAUUCUUGUAAUUUCCUUCUAAAAUUUUGAUGAAAUGCUGAAAAAUUAACUUAUUGACCUUUGUGAAUUGUAAUUGUUAUUAAAUUGAUCUUGGUUAAUAUAAAUCAAGCCUCCGCCACUGGUUAAAGGUGCUCUAAGCGGCUAAUUAGGACAUAUGGACUGUAAUAUUUAUUUUCAACAUUCUUUUUUAUCCUUUAGGUUUAGGGUCAUAAAAACUUCACUAUGUUUGGCCCCGUACCGAAUGGAAUAAGCAAAGGCUGAACCGCUCACUUGCAACUUCAUCAAAACCAACAGUAAUCCACGAAAUAUUUUCACAUUCAAAUUGUUUUGGGUAAACUUCUAAAGUUCGUCCUAAAAUAAAUAAUAAAACAAAAUAUAUAAAUUGUUGCGAAAGAAAAAUGAACUAAAAAUCCUUUAAUUUCUCACAAGGUCCCCUCUUCAUGUGGUAACCGUCGGUGGCAGGCAUCACUUUUUACGCACUGUGUGAGACGUGGCCCCAAAUGCUCCUCAAAGGCCUCAUCUCCUAAGAUUCUUUGUUAAUAUUUACAUUUUGUAUCAGAUUCGUUUAACUCGCUUAUUAAAUUAUUCAGAAUGGAAAAAAAAGUACUCAGAACUCAAAAGGACAAUAAAUAAUACAUUAAAUUUUAGGGGAUUCGGGACUUCAAUUCUCACCCUACUCUUAUCCUCUUGGGCGGCACUGUUAAUGGAUCUUCUCAGCCACAAAAUAUGCAGUAGGUUUCUUUAGAAAAAUGUAACGCUAGUUAUUAAAUAUUGUGAUGUUAUUAAUUUUGUUUUGUUGUCAAUAUGAUAUGAUCCAUAUCAACAUGGGGAACUUAAUCAAUGAGAGAAAGACCAUAGUGAUGUUCUUACCUCUCUCAUGCAAACUGAGACAGUGCCAAGUGGAAGCCAAAUGCCAUCUUCCUCUUCUUAGAGAAGGUCACAGGGAACAACAACGCUACACAAAGUAUAUACAAUGCUUAAUUUACUAGUGCAUGCCUUUUCCCCAUGUCUUUUGAAUCAUGUAUUCAUAUAUAACCAUUGUUCUCUUUCAUCAUCCUAAUAGAUCAUUUACUGCA
Long non-coding RNA from Brassica napus (rape), 2818 nucleotides. RefSeq lists it as uncharacterized. The record is from RefSeq and is a predicted model, not a curated record. The transcript has 2 exons. Lineage: Eukaryota; Viridiplantae; Streptophyta; Magnoliopsida; Brassicales; Brassicaceae.